GUCUCGGUGGUGUAGUGGUAGCACGCGUCUCGGUAUGGGUGAAACGUGGAUUCAACUCCCAUCUGAGGCC
Molecule: non-coding RNA, 70 nt
Organism: Parelaphostrongylus tenuis
Lineage: Eukaryota; Metazoa; Nematoda; Chromadorea; Rhabditida; Metastrongylidae
Source: the annotation of a GenBank genome assembly